UGGGAAUCUUGCACAAUGGGCGAAAGCCUGAUGCAGCAACGCCGCGUGCGGGAAGACGGCCCUAGGGUUGUAAACCGCUUUCAGGAGGGAAGAAAAUGACGGUACCUCCAGAAGAAGGUGCGGCCAACUACGUGCCAGCAGCCGCGGUGACACGUAGGCACCAAGCGUUAUCCGGAUUUAUUGGGCGUAAAGAGCUCGUAGGCGGUUCGGUAAGUCGGGUGUGAAAAUCCAAGGCUCAACCUUGGGACGCCACCCGAUACUGCUGUGACUCGAGUGCAGUAGGGGAGCAGGGAAUUCCUGGUGUAGCGGUGAAAUGCGUAGAGAUCGGAAGGAACAUCAGUGGCGAAGGCGACUGUCUGGCCCAAUACUGACGCUGAGGUGCGAAAGCGUGGGGAGCAAACAGGAUUAGAU
Molecule: ribosomal RNA, 411 nt
Filed under: uncultured bacterium
Lineage: Bacteria
Description: bacterial SSU rRNA
Rfam family: Bacterial small subunit ribosomal RNA
Source: RNAcentral